This 71-nucleotide transfer RNA is filed under the name Rhipicephalus microplus (southern cattle tick). RNAcentral describes it as "tRNA-Gly". It matches the Rfam family "tRNA". From Rfam's summary of the family: Transfer RNA (tRNA) molecules are approximately 80 nucleotides in length. Their secondary structure includes four short double-helical elements and three loops (D, anti-codon, and T loops). Lineage: Eukaryota; Metazoa; Arthropoda; Arachnida; Ixodida; Ixodidae. The record is from Rfam by way of RNAcentral.
GCGUCGGUGGUUCAGUGGCAGAAUACUUGCCUGCCACGCGGGUGACCCGGGUUCGAUUCCCGGCCGAUGCA